This 1507-nucleotide ribosomal RNA is filed under the name uncultured soil bacterium. RNAcentral describes it as "partial 16S ribosomal RNA". It matches the Rfam family "Bacterial small subunit ribosomal RNA". The record is from RNAcentral.
AUUAGAGUUUGAUCCUGGCUCAGAACGAACGCUGGCGGCAGGCCUAACACAUGCAAGUCGAGCGGAUGACGGGAGCUUGCUCCUUGAUUCAGCGGCGGACGGGUGAGUAAUGCCUAGGAAUCUGCCUGGUAGUGGGGGACAACGUUUCGAAAGGAACGCUAAUACCGCAUACGUCCUACGGGAGAAAGCAGGGGACCUUCGGGCCUUGCGCUAUCAGAUGAGCCUAGGUCGGAUUAGCUAGUUGGUGGGGUAAUGGCUCACCAAGGCGACGAUCCGUAACUGGUCUGAGAGGAUGAUCAGUCACACUGGAACCGAGACACGGUCCAGACUCCUACGGGAGGCAGCAGUGGGGAAUAUUGGACAAUGGGCGAAAGCCUGAUCCAGCAAUGCCGCGUGUGUGAAGAAGGCCCUCGGGUUGUAAAGCACUUUUAUCAGGAACGAAAUACCACGGGUUAAUACCCUAUGGGGCUGACGGUACCUGAGGAAUAAGCACCGGCUAACUUCGUGCCAGCAGCCGCGGUAAUACGAAGGGUGCAAGCGUUACUCGGAAUUACUGGGCGUAAAGCGUGCGUAGGUGGUUGAUUAAGUCUGUCGUGAAAGCCCUGGGCUCAACCUGGGAAUUGCGAUGGAAACUGGUUGACUAGAGUGUGGCAGAGGGUAGUGGAAUUCCUGGUGUAGCAGUGAAAUGCGUAGAGAUCAGGAGGAACAUCCGUGGCGAAGGCGACUGCCUGGGCCAACACUGACACUGAGGCACGAAAGCGUGGGGAGCAAACAGGAUUAGAUACCCUGGUAGUCCACGCCCUAAACGAUGCGAACUGGAUGUUGGGUGCACUUUGGCACGCAGUAUCGAAGCUAACGCGUGAAGUUGACCGCCUGGGGAGUACGGUCGCAAGAUUAAAACUCAAAGGAAUUGACGGGGACCCGCACAAGCGGUGGAUGAUGUGGAUUAAUUCGAUGCAACGCGAAAAACCUUACCUACCCUUGACAUGUCUGGAAGAUUCAAGAGAUUGAAUUGUGCUCGCAAGAGAACCGGAACACAGGUGCUGCAUGGCUGUCGUCAGCUCGUGUCGUGAGAUGUUGGGUUAAGUCCCGCAACGAGCGCAACCCUUGCCAUUAGUUGCUACAUUCAGUUGGGCACUCUAAUGGGACUGCCGGUGACAAACCGGAGGAAGGUGGGGAUGACGUCAAGUCCUCAUGGCCCUUAUGGGUAGGGCUUCACACGUCAUACAAUGGUCGGGACAGAGGGAUGCCAAGCCGCGAGGUGGAGCCAAUCUCAGAAACCCGAUCGUAGUCCGGAUCGCAGUCUGCAACUCGACUGCGUGAAGUCGGAAUCGCUAGUAAUCGCGGAUCAGCAUGUCGCGGUGAAUACGUUCCCGGGUCUUGUACACACCGCCCGUCACACCAUGGGAGUGGGUUUCACCAGAAGUAGGUAGCCUAACCGCAAGGGGGGCGCUUACCACGGUGAGAUUCAUGACUGGGGUGAAGUCGUAACAAGGUAGCCGUAAAU